UUUUUUUUUUCAGAGUGGAAAAUAGAAGUUUAUUAAAGGACAGCAGAAAAGACUUCUCCCGGAGGAAGAAGGGGACCCAAGAGAUGGAAUCUCGAUAUGCUUUGUUUUAACAAUUGGGCAGAGGACUGUCAGUUGUCUGCAUACCCACCUAGUUUCUCUGAUUAGUAUGCUUUCAGGUGGCCUGAAAGUUGAAGGUAUUUUGCUUUAAGGAAAAAAAUUAGGGACAGAAGACUGUAGAAAGCAUUUCCUGUGUAAGCAAAUACCAUGCAACACCAUUGCCAUAGAAACCUCAUGUCGUUUUUUGGUGACAAUAAUGACUUUAUUGGAGACCAACUUGCUCUGGUUUGAGAGCAGUGUCCCUACUCCAAGUGUAUGGACUCUGGGGAGGGUGUGGUGCUCCGAGGUGGGGGAUGAACCUCCCAAGGGUGUGGAGAAAUGAAGUGAUACCAAACCCAAUCACCUCAUUCUUGAUCUGGCACUUGGUGCUUUGCUGACUGGAGAGGGAGAGAGAUGUGGGAUCCUUCUGGCCCUAGCAGCUUGAUAACGUGCUCCAGGGUGUCCUGGACCUACUUUCCUUAUAAAUGCGGGGUGCGGGAGGGAGGAUAAGAAAGGGAACAGCCCUCUGUGACCCAGCUACUCCUCUGUAAAAUGGGAGCAAGAAUGCUCACCCACAGAAUUGUUGGUUUGAGGAAGAAACACGAUGUUUAACAUGCAUUUGUGAUAAAUUUAUAUGUAAUUUCCUGAAUGAAUUGAAAAAACUGUCACCAUCAACACUGUCACAUGUGUGUUGAAAGUUGGUGAGAAGGUAUUGUGAUAAGGUAAUAUAGAUUCUUAUUUGAUAAUCAGGUUAUUAUCCUUUCUAUAUUGUUACGGCUUAGAGUUCUUUUAGAUAAAGAUGGUAUAAACGUUUGUGUAAAAGGCUUUACAUACACAUAUGUUUUUGUUCCCCUAUGGCAACUAUUAGGAGUGUACUAGCUGAAUUGAAUGGUAGAUGUGAGGUUAACAUUUUAAAAAAUUGAUAAACUGUUUUCCAAAGUGAUUGUAGCAUUUUUAAUUUUUACUGGUAAUACUUCACAGUCCUUUUGAAUACAAGUUAUGGCCAUUUUUAAAAAUUUUAGCUGUUUUCAUUGGGUAUAGUGAUAUUUCAUUGGAAUUUUAAUUUACAUUUCCCUAAUGACUAAUGAUAUUUGACAUAUUUUCCAUAUAAUUAAUUGGUAUGUGUGCAUAUAAUUAGAUAAACUCUGUUCAAAGUGUUAGCCCAAUUAUGUACUGGAGUUCCUAUUUGUUUCUUACUGUAUUAACAUGUUUUCUAUAUUGUAUUCUAGAUGUUCUUUGCCAGAUACUACUACUACUACUACUACUACUACUACUACUACUACUACUACUACUUAUAUUAUUAUUGAUCUGAGACUUGAAUCCAGGGGCAUUUAACCACUGAUCCACAUCCCCAACCCUUUUAAUUAAUUUAUUUACUUUUGUUUUGAGACAGAGUCUUACUAACUUGCUUAGGGCCUUGCUAAGUUGUUGCUGAGGCUGGCCUUGAACUUUCGAUCCUCCUACCUCAGCCUCCAGAGUUGCUGGGCUUACAGGCAAGUGCCACUGCACCUGACAGAUUUUAUUUGAAAAUAGAUUUUAUUUUAAAAUAUUUUCCCAGUCAUUGACCAAACAUUUUAUUCUCACAACAGUGCCAUUGAAUGAAUAGACUUUUUUAAAUUUUGAGGCAGUCUAAUUUAUAAAUUUGUUCAUUUGUACUUUGGAUAUUGCUUUUGGUGUCCUAUAUAAGAAAUGAUUUCUUAACCCAAGGUCACAAGGGUUUUCUCCUAUGCUUUCUUACAGAAGUUUUAUGGAUUUAGGCUUUAUAUUUAGAUAAAAGAUUCAUUUUGUGUUGAUUUUUCUGUAUGGUGCAAUAUAUGGAUGAAUGUAUUUUAUUUACUUUUAUUGAUGUGUAUUAAUUAUACACAAUGAUGGGUUCAUUGUGGCAUAUUCAUACAUGCUUAUAAUAUACUUAGAUCAAAUCCAUUUCCAUUUUGUCUCCAAUUACCUUGCCUAUUGUCCUC
Molecule: long non-coding RNA, 2057 nt
Filed under: Marmota monax (woodchuck)
Lineage: Eukaryota; Metazoa; Chordata; Mammalia; Rodentia; Sciuridae
Source: RNAcentral